RNAcentral lists this ribosomal RNA (466 nucleotides) under uncultured bacterium. RNAcentral describes it as "partial 16S ribosomal RNA". It matches the Rfam family "Bacterial small subunit ribosomal RNA", at positions 28 to 507 of the family's 1533-position model. The record is from RNAcentral.
GAUGAACGCUGGCGGCGUGCUUAACACAUGCAAGUCGAACGAUGAAGCUCAGCUUGCUGGGUGGAUUAGUGGCGAACGGGUGAGUAACACGUGAGUAACCUGCCCUUAACUCUGGGAUAAGCCUGGGAAACUAGGUCUAAUACCGGAUAGGAGCGCCUACCGCAUGGUGGGUGUUGGAAAGAUUUAUCGGUUUUGGAUGGACUCGCGGCCUAUCAGCUUGUUGGUGAGGUAAUGGCUCACCAAGGCGACGACGGGUAGCCGGCCUGAGAGGGCGACCGGCCACACUGGGACUGAGACACGGCCCAGACUCCUACGGGAGGCAGCAGUGGGGAAUAUUGCACAAUGGGCGAAAGCCUGAUGCAGCGACGCCGCGUGAGGGAUGACGGCCUUCGGGUUGUAAACCUCUUUCAGUAGGGAAGAAGCGAAAGUGACGGUACCUGCAGAAGAAGCACCGGCUAACUACGUG